RNAcentral lists this ribosomal RNA (553 nucleotides) under uncultured eukaryote. RNAcentral's name for it is "SSU rRNA". It matches the Rfam family "Eukaryotic small subunit ribosomal RNA", at positions 613 to 1172 of the family's 1831-position model. The record is from RNAcentral.
UUGCAGUUAAAAAGCUCGUAGUUGGAUUUCGGAGUGGGCCAGUUGGUCCGCCGCAAGGUGUGUUACUGACUGGUUUGCUCUUCUUCGCAAAGACUGCGUGUGCUCUUCAGUGAGUGUGCGUAGGAUUUACGACGUUUACUUUGAAAAAAUUAGAGUGUUCAAAGCAGGCUAUUGCUUGAAUACAUGAGCAUGGAAUAAUGGAAUAGGACUUUGGUCCCAUUUUGUUGGUUUCUAGGGCCGAAGUAAUGAUUAAGAGGGACAGUUGGGGGCAUUCGUAUUUCGUUGUCAGAGGUGAAAUUCUUGGAUUUACGAAAGACGAACAAUUGCGAAAGCAUUUGCCAAGAAUGUUUUCAUUAAUCAAGAACGAAAGUUAGAGGAUCGAAGACGAUCAGAUACCGUCCUAGUUCUAACCAUAAACGAUGUCGACUAGGGAUCAGCGAACGUCUAAUGCGACUUCGUUGGCACCUUACGGGAAACCAAAGUUUUUGGAUUCCGGGGGAAGUAUGGUUGCAAAACUGAAACUUAAAAGGAAUUGACGGAAGGGGCACCACCA